Molecule: ribosomal RNA, 251 nt
Filed under: uncultured bacterium
Lineage: Bacteria
Description: partial 16S ribosomal RNA
Rfam family: Bacterial small subunit ribosomal RNA
Source: RNAcentral
AAGUCGAACGAACCUUUUAGGUGAGUGGCGCACGGGUGCGUAACGCGUGGGAAUAUGCCCUUGGGUGAGGAAUAACGUAGAGAAAUUUGCGCUAAUACCUCAUAAUGACUCCGGUCCAAAGAUUUAUCGCCCAAGGAUUAGCCCGCGUUAGAUUAGAUAGUUGGUGAGGUAAUGGCUCACCAAGUCGACGAUCUAUAGGGGGUCUGAGAGGAUGAUCCUCCACACUGGGACUGAGACACGGCCCAGACUCC